Molecule: long non-coding RNA, 314 nt
Filed under: Homo sapiens (human)
Lineage: Eukaryota; Metazoa; Chordata; Mammalia; Primates; Hominidae
Description: HSALNT0360753
Source: RNAcentral
CAGCGCCCCUGCUCUGUGCUGCAUUUGGAAAGAACCUAAAUGUCCUCCCUCUGAAGACUGGUUAAACAUCUGGUUAUGAUCCAGUGCUCACGUUUCUGGAAUCCGUUCCUUUGGCUGUGCCACUUGUGAUCCCUUCUGCUCCAACGUUUGCCUGGGGAGCUCAUUAGGUAGCCAGGACCCUGGGCCACUGCACCCCACCAGGACGGCAGGACUGAAAAGGCCACUGACCUGCUCAUCUGACACCUGAGGGCCGCUGGAGACCCAGGGACACUCCUGCUGCGGCUCAUGUUUGGAAGCUGUCCGGAGGCGGGACU